AAUAUCAGAGCUGCUUCCCUACUCUGUCUUUGUUCACUAAAAUUCUUAGCCUAUAGGAAUGUCAGUAAUCCUUCAAUAAAAUACAUUCACGUCCUAAUGUUUCACUGACAUUCUAAUCUCGACUUUUGACAAGAAAUGGUAUCAAGUACAGGAGGAAACGAGAUUUCAUUGGUAAAAUCGUUUGUUAUAUUUGAGUAAAUUAUUC
This is a non-coding RNA of Paramuricea clavata, 205 nucleotides long. Lineage: Eukaryota; Metazoa; Cnidaria; Anthozoa; Malacalcyonacea; Plexauridae. The record is from the annotation of a GenBank genome assembly.